This 253-nucleotide ribosomal RNA is filed under the name uncultured bacterium. RNAcentral's name for it is "partial 16S ribosomal RNA". It matches the Rfam family "Bacterial small subunit ribosomal RNA", at positions 524 to 776 of the family's 1533-position model. The record is from RNAcentral.
UACGGAGGGGGCUAGCGUUGUCCGGAUUUAUUGGGCGUAAAGAGCUCGUAGGCGGCUUGUUGCGUCGUCCGUGAAAACCCGCAGCUCAACUGCGGGCUUGCGGACGAUACGGGCAGGCUGGAGUUCGGUAGGGGAGACUGGAAUUCCUGGUGUAGCGGUGAAAUGCGCAGAUAUCAGGAGGAACACCGGUGGCGAAGGCGACUCUUUGGCCUGUAACUGACGCUGAGGCGCGAAAGCGUGGGGAGCAAACAGG